This 4735-nucleotide long non-coding RNA is filed under the name Daucus carota (carrot). RNAcentral describes it as "long non-coding RNA (DCAR_LNC000894)". The record is from RNAcentral. Lineage: Eukaryota; Viridiplantae; Streptophyta; Magnoliopsida; Apiales; Apiaceae.
UUGGAUAUAAACAAAAGAAUAGCAACAAACGUGAUUGAAACAAAGCAAAUGAUUUUACUGAUAUGGAAAGCUUACAACUCGAUAAACAAACUGAGAACUACAAAAAGUAAUAAACACCUAUCUCAACUAGAGUGCUACAAAUCAGGGACGUGCACCAGAUUUGCUCAGCUUAUUUUCCAAGACUCCUAAACUAAAGCAACUGCUCUAUGACUAAGUCUGUGUCAACGUUUACAAACCAAAGACACCUGACUUUAUUUAUCGACUAAGACACAGAAUAAAACAAUUAAAUGUUUAGAUUAAAAAUAAACCCAACAUACUCCCCCCUAAUCUAAACAUCUCCAAGUUCCCUGACUCCCAACAAACUCCUCAUCUUCUCAAAUUUUGCAACUGCUAACGCCUUUGUCAGAAUAUCAGCACGUUGCUCAUUUGUACUGACAUGUUUAAUAACAAUCAACCCUUGCUCAACACAAUCUCGAAUAAAAUGAUACCUCAAGUCAAUGUGUUUGCUCCUGCCAUGAAAAACCGGGUUGCGUGCUAGAUCAACUGCUGAACGAUUGUCAAUAUACAGAGUGACAGGUCCUGGUUUGACGUCCGUAACAUGGCUGAGAAGUCGUUGGAGCCAUAUUGCUUGACAAGCAGCAGCCGUUGCUGCCAUAAACUCGGCCUCACACGAAGACAAAGCCACGCACCUCUGUUUUUGAGAAACCCAAGUGAUCAGAUUUUCAUCCAAGUAAAAAGCCAUCCCUCCUGUACUUUUCCUAUCAUCCAAACUCCCAGCCAUAUCACUAUCCGAGAAGCCAGCCAAGAUAUAAUUUCCACGACCUCGCUUGUAAACCAGCCCAUAAUUUAGAGUUCCUUUCACGUACCUGAAAAUUCGUUUCACAGCACUUAAAUGGAGUACAGUUGGUCUCUCCAUGUAUCGACUGACUAUCCCCACGGCGUAAGCUAUAUCCGGGCGUGUGUGUACCAAGUAUCGUAACCCACCAACCAUGCUCUUGUAUUGUGUAGAAUUCACAGGGGUUCCAUUUUUGUCAGCAUGAAGUUGUAGUUAAUGCUCCAUGGGAAACUUCACAGCGUUGCAUUCAAGUAAACCUGCUUUCUCAAGAAUUUUUCUUGCAUAUGAAGUCUGUUUCACCUCGAUAAACCCACUGCCCUGAAUGACCUCCAAACCCAAAUAAUACGACAAUUUUCCGAGGUCAGACAUGUCGAAUUCACGACUCAUCUCCCCCUUGAAUUUGACAAUGUCUGACAGAUUGGACCCCGUAAUAAUAAGAUCAUCUACAUAGACGCCAACAAUCAAACAAUCCGAACCAACACGCUUUGUGUAAACAGCAUGCUCAAAUGGACAUUUAGUGAAGCCCAAAGUUAACAAGUACUGAUUCAACCUUGAAUACCAGGUCCUUGGAGCUUGGCGAAGCCCAUAUAAUGCUUUAAGAAGUCGAUAAACCUUGUGUUCAUACCCUUUCUGCACAUAGCCCUUUGGUUGUGUGACAUAAACUUCUUCUAAAAGAACACCAUUGAGAAAAGCGGACUUGACAUCAAGAUGAUGAAUUUCCCAAUCAUUUUUGGCUGCCAACGCAAGCAACAAACGGACUGUUUCCAGCCGUGUAACGGGAGCAAAAACCUCUUCAAAGUCAAUGCCUUGACGCUGAACGUAUCCUUUUGCCACGAGGCGAGCUUUGUGUUUUGUGACAGCCCCGGUUUGAUCUUUCUUCACUUUAUACACCCAUUUAAGAUCGAUAGGUUUUCGUCCUGAAGGAAGAUCUGUUAGUUCCCACGUUUGGUUUUUUUCGAUGGCAGCAAUCUCGCUGUUCAUUGCCUCCUGCCAGACCUGUUCUUUGGCAGCCUGUUCAUAACAAACAGGCUCAUCAAUGCCCAUAAGUAGUAACUCCUCUUCGAGUUCAACUUCAGUAGUUUGAUCAUAAAUAUCUUGAAUGGGACGAAAAUUGCGGGGUUGUUCACUUUCAGCAUCCGUAUCACCGGAACGUGCAGGGUCUGUCUCCAUUUGAUGUUGCACUGGUGUAUGUACAACAGGUGACGUGGGAGUCUCAUCCGUGUCUUCAAAUGAGCACUCCACUAUAAAUUGUGGUGUCACCUGUGCAGUACUAGAAAAAUUAUUCUCCCAAGGCCAGGAUUUAUCCUCAUGAAAGACUACAUCACGACUGACUUGGACUUUGCCAGUGAGAGGAUCAUACAAACGGUACGCCUUUGUACCAGGUUCACGACCAAAAUGUACCACCAUUCGGCUACGUUCAUCAAGCUUCUUCGUAUAAACAGAGGGCACUUUCAUGUACGCAAUGCAUCCAAAGACUCUCAAGAAUUCAACACUUGGUUUCCUAUCAAACCAUGCUUCAUAUGGAGUAAUAGUGGACAUCGAUCUAGUGGGUAGUUUGUUCAACAUGUAAACGGCAUGGCGGACAGCUUCUCCCCAAUACAUUUGUGGUACUUUUUUUUCAGACAGCAAACUCCGUGCCAUGGCAACUACUGUUCGGUUACGGCGUUCUACCACGCCAUUUUGUUGAGGUGUGUAGGGCGCCGUGUAGUGCCUUAGUAUUCCAUUAUCAUCACAAAACUUCUGAAAAUCUCUUGAACAAAACUCGCCUCCACGAUCUGUUCUGAGGACUUGAAUACCUUGUUUAGCACCAUUUUCCACCAACUGCUUGAAUUGUUUGAAGUAAUGGAGAGCUUCGUCCUUCGUUUUCAGCAUAUAUACCCACAUCAUUCGGGUAUAAUCAUCAACCAAUAACAUAAAGUACCGGUUACCAGCCGGAGUGGAGGGUGUAAUUGGACCACACAAGUCUAAAUGAAUUAAUUGUAGAGCAACUUUAGCAGAGAAAUCAGUUUGAGAAGGAAAUGGCUUACGAGUUUGUUUUGCCAUGAGACAGCCACUACAAGUCUCCUUUGGUUGAUUGAAUGUAGGUAACCCGUGAGCCAUACCAUGUUUCGACAUCAGUUGCAUAGAUUUAAAGUUCACGUGACCGAAGCGUUUGUGCCAUAACUGGGUAGUCUCUUCUCCCUUUGUCAGCAAACACUCUUGUUGCGAUGCUUCGAUAUAAAUCUUAUAUAGUCGGUUCUCAGAUCUCUUCACCUGCAUGAGGAGUCGCCCACAACUAUCGAAAACGCAUAAGUGCUCUCCACCAAUCUCUACUCUGUUCCCUUCUUCCGUUAACUGGCCUAGACUUAUGAUGUUACUCCGAAGCGUAGGAAUGUAAUAUACCCCCUGCAUCACUCGUGUUUCACCAUUCUUACAUACAAGUCUGAUCGAACCCUUUCCCUCGAUUUUUACCAAAGAUCCAUCACCAAAUUUCACUUCUCCUUUAAUAGUUUUGUCUAGUGUUUCAAAUUUCUCUCGUCUUCCCGUCAUAUGAUUGCUGGCACCAUUAUCAAGAUACCAGGUGUUGCUCUCCAUUCCACCAUCAUCACUUGAUUUCGUGUCCUCGGUGAAUGCCAACGUUCCACUCUCACACAUAGCCAUCAAUAAUGCUGGUUCAUUAUCAUUUAUUUGUGUCAGGUUCGCCUCUCCUUGCUGUUUCUUGAGCUUUGACGGUUUUCGACAUUCAGCCGCAAAAUGGCCAUAUCCCCCACAGUUAAAACACUUCACUUGGCUCCUAUCACGAACCAAACGGUUGUCCCUCCUACGGUAAUCUCUUCCACCCCCAGUGGAGACAUUCUUCCCACUCCUCUUUAGCCAUUCCUCUCUUGUCAGCAACAAUUUGCCCUCCUCAUUCUCCCUUUUCUGCCACUCAUCCUCGGUUAGCAGAAGUUGCUGUCCCUCACUGCUUUCACCUGGUCCUUGCAAGCGUUCUUCGUGAGCUCGCAAAGAACCAACUACCUCCUCCACUGACAUGGAUUUCAAAUUCCCAAAUUGCUCAAUGGCUGAUGCAAUUUGUAAAAAUUUGGUUGGAACAGCUCUUAACAGUUUUUUCACCACAUAUUCCUCCUCAAUUGUUUCUCCCAAUGCCCUGAUUUUUGUGACCAGGCCAUUUAGUCUCAUACAGAAAUCAUCGAUUUGUUCCGAAUCCUUCAUCUUCAAUGACUCGAAUUCUGCCUUAAGUGUUUGUGCUUUGGCUUGUUUUACCUUAUCCGCUCCCAAGCACAUAAUCUUAAUAGCAGCCCAGGCAUCCUUAGACGUCUUCUUCUCUGCAAUCGACAAAAGUAUGUCAUCAGAGAUGCCUUGGUACAUGAUAGCCAUUGCACGCUUGUCAGUCUUCUCCUCAGCCACAGCCUUAGGAUCUUUCGAUUCAAUCGCUUCCCACACCCCAUAAGCUUGCAUAAUCACUUUCAUCUUCAUAGCCCAGGUGGUGUAGUUUGUUUUUGUCAACAUUGGAUAACUCAAGCCAAACGACCCUUCUUUGCCCUUACUCGACUCCAUCUCUGCCUUGUUCGUGACUCACCAGGCAACCUGGCUCUGAUACCAGAUGUUGGAUAUAAACAAAAGAAUAGCAACAAACGUGAUUGAAACAAAGCAAAUGAUUUUACUGAUAUGGAAAGCUUACAACUCGAUAAACAAACUGAGAACUACAAAAAGUAAUAAACACCUAUCUCAACUAGAGUGCUACAAAUCAGGGACGUGCACCAGAUUUGCUCAGCUUAUUUUCCAAGACUCCUAAACUAAAGCAACUGCUCUAUGACUAAGUCUGUGUCAACGUUUACAAACCAAAGACACCUGACUUUAUUUAUCGACUAAGACACAGAAUAAAACAAUUAAAUGUUUAGAUUAAAAAUAAACCCAACA